Molecule: unclassified non-coding RNA, 345 nt
Filed under: soil metagenome
Description: partial contains 5.8S ribosomal RNA, internal transcribed spacer 2, and large subunit ribosomal RNA
Rfam family: 5.8S ribosomal RNA (bases 1-120)
Source: RNAcentral
GAUGAAGAACGUAGCGAAAUGCGAUACGUAAUGUGAAUUGCAGAAUUCAGUGAAUCAUCGAGUCUUUGAACGCACAUUGCGCCCCCUGGUAUUCCGGGGGGCAUGCCUGUCCGAGCGUCAUUGCUGCCCUCAAGCACGGCUUGUGUGUUGGGCCUCCGUCCUCCUCCCGGGGGACGGGCCCGAAAGGCAGCGGCGGCACCGCGUCCGGUCCUCGAGCGUAUGGGGCUUCGUCACCCGCUCUUGUAGGCCCGGUCGGCGCUUGCCGACACAUCAAUCUUUUUUCCAGGUUGACCUCGGAUCUGGUAGGGAUACCCGCUGAACUUAAGCAUAUCAAUAAGCGGAGGA